Molecule: long non-coding RNA, 362 nt
Organism: Lutra lutra (Eurasian river otter)
Lineage: Eukaryota; Metazoa; Chordata; Mammalia; Carnivora; Mustelidae
Exons: 3
Source: RefSeq, a predicted model, not a curated record
AGGAUCAUCUGCUUCCUUCCAGAUGGCAGGUGUGAUAAUGGAGUGGUGGUCAUAUGAUGGAGUGUCUUCAUUCUCAGCCACCCACAGCAAUUAAGUGGUCCCAAGCACAGAAACUGGAAAAGAAAAUAAAGAUGGGCCAACAGGAAGCAGCGGAAGCAAAAACAAAAUGGCAGAGGAGACAGGAUUUUUCUCUAGAAAUGGCUGGGCAGCUCAGAACUCCCUUUUGAGGGUGGGGUCAACAGGCUUUAUGGGUGAUUUCACUUGGUUUAAAAAUGUACUGCACUGGUCAGAAAUGAGAGCAUUCUGGUUAAUAAAACAUGUUUGUAUAAAGACAAUGAAUCACGCAUACAUUAUUAAACAUA